This 347-nucleotide ribosomal RNA is filed under the name Isotes tetraspilota. Its description in RNAcentral is "partial 12S ribosomal RNA". Lineage: Eukaryota; Metazoa; Arthropoda; Insecta; Coleoptera; Chrysomelidae. The record is from RNAcentral.
UUAAAUGUAAUUUUAUAAAUUAGAUUAUUAUUAGUUAUGAUCUUUAAAAUUAAAAAAUUUGGCGGUAUUUUAGUCUUUUCAGAGGAACCUGUUUUUUAAAUGAUAAUCCACGAUUUAAUUUACUUUUAUUUUUAAUUUGUAUAUCAUCGUAGUUAAAUAUUUUUUUAGAAUUAUAAUAUUUAUAAUUUUUUAUUUUAAAAUUUAUCAGAUCAAGGUGCAGUUUAUAAAAAAGUUUUAAUGGGUUACAUUUAAUUUAUUUUUGGAUUUGUAAAUUUAAUAUUUAAAUGAAAUUGGAUUUGGAAGUAAUAAUGAUUAAUUUAUCAUUAUGAUUAAGCUCUAAAAUAUGU